GAACAUUCGGCAGAAGGCUUGCUUUCUAUUGUCAUAAUAUGUUCAUGAAUAAUUUUCACUGCAGUUUAUUUUGUUUGUUUGGAAGGUGAAGGACCUCCUGCUGUUGCAGCUGUUGUAUGAAUUGUAGCACUUAAAUCCUGUUUCUUGAACGAAGAGAGCAGAUCUACAAUGAGUGGAAUGAGUCAAAUAUAGUGGGACUGAUGUGGUACUAAAGAAAAGAACUCUGCGCUAGAUACUAGCCAAAGAACUUUCAGAAGGCAUAAGCCAAGUGUUCUGAGAACUUCUCUUGCCUAAAAUGUUUGUAUCUUGGGCUAAGCAAGUCACCAAAGAUCCUGACUAAUAGACAAGAUGAGGACACGUCUCCUUUUCCAGCUUCCAGAAUAAGGAACAUUACUCCACAAUGGUUUUGGUCAUAUAAAAGCAGGAUACCCAUAAUGAAGCUACAUAAUAAGGAAGAUGAAAUGAAUUAACAAGAAAAACCUGCCUUAUGUAAUGAAACAGUUGAGCCAAACUCACAAAGCAAGAAAAGGUUGGAUUAGAAUGGUCUCUUAAGAAACAACUCUUCAUAGAUUUAUUUU
Long non-coding RNA from Sarcophilus harrisii (Tasmanian devil), 578 nucleotides. RefSeq lists it as uncharacterized. NCBI's taxonomy places the organism in Eukaryota, Metazoa, Chordata, Mammalia, Dasyuromorphia, Dasyuridae. The transcript is spliced from 3 exons. The record is from RefSeq and is a predicted model, not a curated record.